Molecule: ribosomal RNA, 745 nt
Filed under: uncultured bacterium
Lineage: Bacteria
Description: bacterial SSU rRNA
Rfam family: Bacterial small subunit ribosomal RNA
Source: RNAcentral
UUGAUUAUGGCUCAGAACAAACGCUGGCGGCGUGUCUUAAGCAUGCAAGUCGAGCGGCAGGCGCAGCAAUGCGCUGAGAGCGGCGGACUGGUGAGUAACGCGUGGGUAAUCUACCUUUGGCAUGGGGAUAGCCACUAGAAAUAGUGGGUAAUACCGAAUACGUUCCCUGGGGGGAGGUUUCAGGGAAGAAAGGGUGCUACGGCACCGGCCGGAGAUGAGCUCGCGUCCCAUUAGCUUGUUGGUGAGGUAACGGCCCACCAAGGCGAUGAUGGGUAGCCGGCCUGAGAGGGUGUACGGCCACACUGGGACUGAGAUACGGCCCAGACUCCUACGGGAGGCAGCAGCUAAGAAUAUUCCGCAAUGGACGAAAGUCUGACGGAGCGACGCCGCGUGGAUGAUGAAGGCCGAAAGGUUGUAAAGUCCUUUUGCUGGGGAAGAAUAAGUGUGGGAGGGAAUGCCCGCAUGAUGACAUGAACCGGCGCAUAAGCCCCGGCCAACUACGUGCCAGCAGCCGCGGUAACACGUAGGGGGCGAGCGUUGUUCGGAAUUACUGGGCGUAAAGGGCAUGUAGGCGGUCUGGUAAGCCUGGCGUGAAAGGCCACAGCUCAACUGUGGGAUUGCGUUGGGAACUGCUGGGCUUGAGUUAUGGAGAGGGAGCUAGAAUUCCUGGUGUAGGGGUGAAUCUGUAGAUAUCAGGAAGAAUACCGAUGGCGAAGGCAAGCUCCUGGCCGAUGACUGACGCUGA